This 1458-nucleotide long non-coding RNA is filed under the name Solanum lycopersicum (tomato). RNAcentral describes it as "long non-coding RNA (SLYC_LNC001294)". The record is from RNAcentral. Lineage: Eukaryota; Viridiplantae; Streptophyta; Magnoliopsida; Solanales; Solanaceae.
AAAAGUAGCAUUUCAUAUUCUAAAAGAGUUUGAUAAAACAGAAUCUAAAAUAAUCUCAACAAGCCAUCUAAACAUCAUAAGAAGUGGUUGAGAUGUAACACAUACACCACAUACAUAGUCCAAAAACUAGAAAGACAUAAAGCAAGUAAAAAUUUCAUGGUCCUCGUAAUACAUGACUCACGCAGUAUUGAAUUUGAUAGAAUAAUCAACUAAUCACGAGUGUGAGAGGUAGGAGCACCAGACCCUACAGUAAUGAGACAAUAUAGACAUAAGUAUGCAUUCGUACAUGAAAUGUACUAAGUAUGAGACAAUAUGUAUAACUAGACAAGAUGACAUGAAUAGCUUAAAUAUGAAAUCCAUGACAAACAUUUGAACAUUUAAAGGUUUAAAGAAGCAACAACAUAUAUUUCAUAAGAUAUGGUCCAUGCGUUUAAAAUAUGAGAUAUAAGAAAAGCAUUUGGAGAACAAAAUCGCAUUUGUGGGAUAUUACUGACAAUAAGACCAUAAGAUUUAUAUCAUGGAAUCAGUAUGUCCCUCAUACUAAAAGAAGGGAUUUCUACUUUACAAGGUAGAAUUUGUACACAUCAUAUUUUUCUAAAGUGGAUCCGUUAGUUAGGUCAUUUAUAAUAAUUCUACUGAGGCACAUAGUUACAGACUAUAAGUUGUUACUAGAAAUUACCCUAUUUGAGCAUCCGCCUCAAAGCCUUCUUGGUGCUUAGUCAAAAUGUCAAUGAAAUUGACAAAAAUCAAAAUCAUUAUAACAUAGGAAAUAUAUGAUUAAUGGUUAAUCCAAAUCCAGAUAUCAAAACAUAGAAUAGCUCCUUAAAUUACAAUUCAAGCAUAGGUGAAAAAACCUUUCACUAUUGUGAAUCCAUAUGUGAGAAAUUUUUUAACAAUCAUGAUUAUAUUCGUAUGUGAGAAAACCUUUCACAAUAAUAUAUAUACUUCCAUCUAAAAGCAUCAUAUCAUCAUAAACAUCAUUUAUAUAAGACAUGCAUAAUCCUUCAAGCUUCGUUCAAAAAUUUAUGAAUUUUUCACAAGUUCAUAAUUUGAAAGUCAUGGAUGAUGGUUGACUUCAUAUGAUUUCUACUAGAUAUCAUAUAAUUUACAUUAAAUCAUGCAAUGGAAGACUUAAACAACAAGAAAAGAAUCACAAUUGAAUGAAACUCAUGUAGAAUUAAGAAGAAUCCUAAUUUGAUCAAUUAAAUUGAAAAGCUUGGAAACCCCAUGGAGGAAUGGACUCCAUAUUUGAAUACCUACAUACCUUUCUACUCAAAGCCCAAGAUCAAUAGUGAAUUGAAGAACUUAGAGGAACCCUAGCUUCUUCUUUUUCCUUAGAUUGAGAGGGAAUUUGGGAGAAUGAAUCUGGCUGAGUUCCAGAAAACAAGAUAAUAGGUUUGAAGUGGGUAGAUAUAGAACUUAAAGUAUCUAUAUAAGACUUAGGAUAAAGGAUAAAAC